Molecule: non-coding RNA, 1545 nt
Organism: Physcomitrium patens
Lineage: Eukaryota; Viridiplantae; Streptophyta; Bryopsida; Funariales; Funariaceae
Source: RefSeq, a predicted model, not a curated record
AGAGAUGCCCUGAAGAUUGAAGCGGCACCGGCGCUGCUCGUUGAAAUUCCUUAACUCAAUCGAAGGCAAUCUAGCGCCAAGGUCUCUGAAAUCUGGACGCUCAUAUAGUUGCGAAGCCGAUAGGCACGAAGACAUAACUGUUUUGUGUGCAGGAAUUGAAGAGGAUUGAGCGUGUUUGUGUGAGAAUGUUGCGAAGUGAAAUUGUUUGUGUCCUUGAACCUCAGCUUCUGAAUCCUCUGUUGUUGCCUUGCCGAAGGAAAUAGGUAUUUGAUUAGCUUCUUGGAUUGAUUUAGUGCUGCGAGAGCCCCGCAGCACGAUUCAUCUUUGGUGUGGCAUUCAUCUUCGGAUAGCUUGUCAAGGCUUUUGAACCACAGGGUCUGUGUGAAUAAAAAUCGCGACAAUCCCAUUCAGAGUACCGUGAUGCGGGGUUAAUCAUGCACAUUCACCUCUCUUAGUGAGGGCGGAGGAAUUGUACUCGAAGCCUGAGACACAUCAGUCUGACUCGAAUUUGCUUCGAUUUGGACUUAGGGCAGAAGUGGUACAACACUUAUGGCUUCUGCGGCUUUUCAUCUCAAUCGUCAGCCAUGAUCUGAAUCCCCAAAUUCUGCACAUCAAGGAUUUGUGUUACUGCUAUACUCUACUCUGGGACAAUCAAACUUGCGAUGUGAAGGCUGAGUCAUUGCUCGCUAGGAUUUGAUCACGGCUCUUACCCUCGUUGGAUCUGAUUGAAAUGGGUACAGGUUGAAACCCCUGUGAUGUCGGCCAAGAUUUUUUCUUAUUCUUCAAUGGCUGAGAGUGUAAACGUAUGCGUGGAACACACAUUUAUUCUCUUCCUUAAGAUUUGAGACUGUGUUCUGCAUUUGAAAUGUUGCAGGUAGGUAUUGUUUCGCAGUAGAUAUUGAUUUUCAACCUUAAGUUAGAUAGACCACUAAUAUGCCGAGAGGUUUCACAUCAACGUUUCAAUUCCUGGGGUGUCUUGUUGGGUGGAUCUGAUUUGGGUUGGUUUAAGUUGGAGACUUCAAGAAGACCUCAAGGAGCAGAUGAAAAAACACCGACAUGAUGAGAACAUCAUGGGGCUCAAUACGGAACAUCAUUCGGAUGUCACCCUACCGAAUUCUUUGGCCUUGGUCCAAAACGUAACUACUUCGAGCAGGUCCCUCGCGUUGCUCUUCAUCUGGAGCAUCUGGGGAUGGUUCGUGCGAAGCAACACUCACCCUCACCCACGAAUGGUAUGGAAGCAGAGCGACCUAACAAUAUCAACCCUAUUUUUGUACAUCUGUUUAAUUAAGGCUACCCUAAUAUUAAUUUAUGGUCCAAAUGAAUCAAACUCGCUCAAAUUAUAUGCUCACUUACAUUUAAAUAUGUUUAUGCACACACACAAAUUGAGCAUAGCCUUAAAAUGUCUCUUGGCUGCUUUCAUGUGAGGCGAGAGCGCGGGCCAUUCCACUGGGACAUUAAAUGAUCCCAGAGAUGUAGUUAUAUGUCACCCGCACAGAACAUUUCAAUUAAUUCCUUGUUGAUUCCUUUUGUUGAUGUUCUCUUUUU